UACGGGGGGUGCAAACGUUGUUCGGAAUCAUUGGGCGUAAAGCGCGCGUAGGCGGCCUGUUAUGUCGGAUGUGAAAGCCCGUGGCUCAACCGCGGAAGUGCAUUCGAAACUGGCUGGCUAGAGUCCGAAAGAGGGUCGUGGAAUUCCCGGUGUAGAGGUGAAAUUCGUAGAUAUCGGGAAGAACACCGGUGGCGAAGGCGGCGACCUGGGUAGAUACUGACGCUGAGGCGCGAAAGCGUGGGGAGCAAACAGG
This 253-nucleotide ribosomal RNA is filed under the name uncultured bacterium. RNAcentral describes it as "partial 16S ribosomal RNA". It matches the Rfam family "Bacterial small subunit ribosomal RNA", at positions 524 to 776 of the family's 1533-position model. The record is from RNAcentral.